UGGGGAAUCUUGGACAAUGGGCGCAAGCCUGAUCCAGCCAUGCCGCGUGAGUGACGAAGGCCUUAGGGUUGUAAAGCUCUUUUGGCGGGGAAGAUAAUGACGGUACCCGCAGAAUAAGCUCCGGCUAACUUCGUGCCAGCAGCCGCGGUAAUACGAAGGGAGCUAGCGUUGUUCGGAAUCACUGGGCGUAAAGCGCACGUAGGUGGGCAGUUAAGUCAGGGGUGAAAGCCCGAGGCUCAACCUCGGAAUUGCCUCUGAUACUGGCUGUCUAGAGUUCGAGAGAGGUGAGUGGAAUUCCUAGUGUAGAGGUGAAAUUCGUAGAUAUUAGGAAGAACACCGGUGGCGAAGGCGGCUCACUGGCUCGAUACUGACACUGAGGUGCGAAAGCGUGGGGAGCAAACAGGAUUAGAUACCCAAGUAGUCCCUGAGCGGGCUGGCAAGGCGCAU
Molecule: ribosomal RNA, 447 nt
Filed under: uncultured bacterium
Lineage: Bacteria
Description: bacterial SSU rRNA
Rfam family: Bacterial small subunit ribosomal RNA
Source: RNAcentral